AUUCGACGUUCUUUUCCGUUGCAUGCUUCGGCUUCGGCUAAUUUUAUCAAGUUUUUUAUUUUUUUAAUUAUUCGAAAUUUGCACAUUUUUUAACCAACAGCGUUUGUGAUGAGCUGCUUAUGACAUUUUGGAAGUGCGCGGGAAUAACCUUUUGUCUAGAAUUUUUCAUGGAAUAUUUUCGAGGAGGGGUUUGAUAAAAUAAAAAUUUGUUGGUAAUAACUCAACUCUUGCUAGAAAUCGUGUCUUUUGGCAAUGAAAAUGUUCCGUAAUCUGAGAAUUUUAAUCAAAAACACAAAAGAAUAUUACGAGCAGUAUAGACGACUUUAAGGCGUUGAUGAAUCGCUCAGAAAAUCCUUUGAAAAGAAUACUUCAAGUAGAAUAAUGUCGAAUCAUUCCGGAAUCUUCAUCCCUUUAAACGCAUACAAAUAAAGGACGAGUCUCGGCGUUUCCAGGACAGGCACUGUUAGCGUGUCCGAGAAAAAAGCCUUCCCGAGUUGCCAUUGAACAGAAAAUCGAUAAAAUUUUUGUUCGUUCUCCCCACCAAAAUUGGUGAAGAAUAGCGAGCAAUUAUCACUCGACAAGCACGCGUGUCGUCUGCGACAGCUAAAAACAACGACACACGUCUACCAGGGUAGCGGGGGCCUUCGAUGUCGCUUCGAAGCAGGCGGGGACCGUCCGGCUCGUGUCCUGGGUACGCAUGCACAGAACACACCACAAAACACCACAAAGUUACAGACAUAAAAAAGAGACAAUUUUUUCUAUACGGUGUUAGCAAAAAUCCCAAGAAAAUUGAGAAAAGUCUAAAAAUCGUGAUCGAAAGAGUCUAAUUUAAAAAAAAAAAAAAAAAACAAUGAUCAAAUGGAUUUGAACGUUCGGAAAUCGAUUUACGAUUCGUUUCGUAUUGCCAAAAGCUUUGUUCGAAUGAAGAGUGAAAAAUAUCGAAAAUUUAUUGAAAAUUCCCGCAAUUAGUUGACCUCUCGAGUCGGGUGCUUAAUUUAAUUGUAUUUACUGAUAAAAAAAAUGACAAAAUCGAGCCAAAUAUGAAUUUGAAAUGGAAAAGAAAAGCACACUAUAAAAGUCAUGAAGUUGCGAUUGAGUUCGUAAAACAAUGAGUGGAAAAGAUUUCUGACUCGAUGAAGCAACGAAUAGAGUAAGUACAAAAAAUGAUUGUUAAUAUCGAACGAAGUUCGAUUCCAAUAGUCAGAAUGAAAUAGUCAAAAAGUCAUUUCGAAUCCUAACAUUUGUGCGAAACUUGAAAAACUUGAAAAAUUUUGAGGUGGAAAAAUUGAAGUUCGAUUGAACCACCGAUUCUUAUCGAACCGGUUGGUCGUUUGUCCAUUAAUUUAUUAGUUUUUGUUAAGGAAUCGUGAUUUGGGUGCAAAAAUGGCCAAAGACAGAGGGAGGAUUGAAAAACUUAUGAAAAACGUGAGAGUGUGCGGGUCGAUAAAUGAGCAGUUAGAAAAAGGAAUGACAACGCAAGGAUGAUAAUCAGUGGGAAAAAAGUUGGAGUUUUUUGGACUGACCUUGGGGAUCCCAAUGCCUGCGCCACCCGAGGCCGCGACCGAGCCUCGUCCCGGUGGCACAUAAAGACUCUCCGUUCUCUUCGGCUGGCCAGGACUCGGCAAAAUGUCUUGUCCGAGGUUGCGGUUCUUCAGGAGCGCCCCUUCGAAUUGGCUCGAUGUUGGAGGCAUGUACGUUGGGGUUGCAGCUCCACUGCCAACGACCGAACCGUUCAGCGGUGUUCCUGACCUCACCAGACUCGGGCCCCUUAUCGAUCUUUUGGUGUUUCCAAAAAAAAAAACAAAGAUUUUUAAUUAAUUCAGUUUUUCCAUUAUCAAGCUUAAUGUCAAACGACGAGUUUUUCGUUUCUAAAUAGUUUCAAGACAUUGGCAAGUGCAUUUAUUUAGAUUUUUCAUCAAUUUUCUUUCAUGCGUUCUAUUCAUUCGCAUCGAUUCAAUUUAUUUAUUGAAUUUGAGUAAAUUCAUCAAAUUACACGAAACAAAUCAAUUAAUCCCAAUGAAUGAAAUAAAAUAAUCUCACACGAG
This 2045-nucleotide long non-coding RNA is filed under the name Venturia canescens. RNAcentral describes it as "uncharacterized LOC122418293". Lineage: Eukaryota; Metazoa; Arthropoda; Insecta; Hymenoptera; Ichneumonidae. The record is from RNAcentral.